This 73-nucleotide transfer RNA is filed under the name Acanthamoeba castellanii str. Neff. It matches the Rfam family "tRNA". From Rfam's summary of the family: Transfer RNA (tRNA) molecules are approximately 80 nucleotides in length. Lineage: Eukaryota; Discosea; Longamoebia; Acanthamoebidae. The record is from Rfam by way of RNAcentral.
GGCCGGUUAGCUUAGUUGGUAGAGCGUGGUGCUAAUAACGCCAAGGUCGUGGGUUCGAUCCCCACCCUGGCCA